AAAGAUUUAGUUUAAUUAAAACAUAAAGUUGUCAACUUUAAAAUACUAAUAAGUAAUCUUUU
RNAcentral lists this transfer RNA (62 nucleotides) under Empoascanara dwalata. RNAcentral describes it as "tRNA-Asp". The record is from RNAcentral. Lineage: Eukaryota; Metazoa; Arthropoda; Insecta; Hemiptera; Cicadellidae. RNAcentral also lists the same sequence under 2 other names.